CUAGGAUGAACGCUAGCGACAGGCCUAACACAUGCAAGUCGAGGGGCAGCACAAGGAGCAAUCUGAGGUGGCGACCGGCGCACGGGUGAGUAACACGUAUGCAACCUGCCUGUAAGCGGGGAAUAACCCGUUGAAAGACGGACUAAUACCGCAUAAUACUAAAUUACUGCAUGGUAAUUUAUUUAGACAUUUAUGGCUUACAGAUGGGCAUGCGCAUGAUUAGCUAGUUGGAGAGGUAACGGCUCCCCAAGGCAACGAUCAUUAGGGGUUCUGAGAGGAAGGUCCCCCACACUGGUACUGAGACACGGACCAGACUCCUACGGGAGGCAGCAGUGAGGAAUAUUGGUCAAUGGACGAGAGUCUGAACCAGCCAAGUCGCGUGCAGGAAGAAUGUUCCCUAUGGAUUGUAAACUGCUUUUGCAGGGGAAUAAAGUGCAUCACGUGUGAUGUUUUGUAUGUACUCUGCGAAUAAGGAUCGGCUAACUCCGUGCCAGCAGCGGC
Molecule: ribosomal RNA, 501 nt
Filed under: uncultured bacterium
Lineage: Bacteria
Description: bacterial SSU rRNA
Rfam family: Bacterial small subunit ribosomal RNA
Source: RNAcentral